CUCUAACUUAUAUUGAUGGCGUUCUAGACUUUAAGAUUGCAGAUAUUUGUCUUAUGUAUUUGAACUUCUCUCUAAGACAAGUAAUGUUGUAUGAACUUGAGUACUUACUUUUCUUAUGUAUUUGAAUUAUUAUCAGAAGUGGUUCUCUCUAAGAUCUCUAAUGUAAUCAUAGUUACAUGUACAUAAAUUUAUUGUUUAAUAUUUGUGUUGUCUUAUCCUUGUGCCAACUAUUGCC
RNAcentral lists this long non-coding RNA (235 nucleotides) under Setaria viridis. RNAcentral's name for it is "long non-coding RNA (SVIR_LNC008813)". The record is from RNAcentral. Lineage: Eukaryota; Viridiplantae; Streptophyta; Magnoliopsida; Poales; Poaceae.